GAAAACGACUGCUAAGACUGGAUAGGAGACAAGAAGGCAUCUUCUUGUUUUUAAAAGACCUAGCAAUAGGUAUGCUUAGGGAGGAGCUUGCGUCACAUUAGUUAGUUGGUGGGGUAAAGGCCUACCAAGACUAUGAUGUGUAGCCGGGCUGAGAGGUUGAACGGCCACAUUGGGACUGAGACACGGCCCAAACUCCUACGGGAGGCAGCAGUAGGGAAUUUUCGGCAAUGGAGGAAACUCUGACCGAGCAACGCCGCGUGAACGAUGAAGUAUUUCGGUACGUAAAGUUCUUUUAUUAGGGAAGAAUAAAUGAUGGAAAAAUCAUUCUGACGGUACCUAAUGAAUAAGCCCCGGCUAACUAUGUGCCAGCAGCCGCGGUAAUACAUAGGGGGCAAGCGUUAUCCGGAAUUAUUGGGCGUAAAGGGUGCGUAGGCGGUUAAAUAAGUUUAUGGUCUAAGUGCAAUGCUCAACAUUGUGAUGCUAUAAAAACUGUUUAGCUAGAGUAAGAUAGAGGCAAGUGGAAUUCCAUGUGUAGUGGUAAAAUGCGUAAAUAUAUGGAGGAACACCAGUAGCGAAGGCGGCUUGCUGGGUCUUUACUGACGCUGAGGCACGAAAGCGUGGGGAGCAAACAGGAUUAGAUACCCUGGUAGUCCACGCCGUAAACGAUGAGUACUAAACGUUGGGUAAAACCAGUGUUGAAGUUAACACAUUAAGUACUCCGCCUGAGUAGUACGUACGCAAGUAUGAAACUUAAAGGAAUUGACGGGACUCCGCACAAGCGGUGGAUCAUGUUGUUUAAUUCGAAGGUACCCGAAAAACCUCACCAGGUCUUGACAUGCUUCUGCAAAACUGUAGAAACACAGUGGAGGUUAUCAGUUGCACAGGUGGUGCAUGGUUGUCGUCAGCUCGUGUCGUGAGAUGUUGGGUUAAGUCUCGCAACGAGCGCAACCCUUAUUGUUAGUUACCAGCACGUAAUGGUGGGGACUUUAGCAAGACUGCCGGUGAUAAAUUGGAGGAAGGUGGGGACGACGUCAAAUCAUCAUGCCCCUUAUGACCUGGGCUACAAACGUGAUACAAUGGCUGUUACAAAGGGUAGCUGAAACGCAAGUUUUUGGCGAAUCUCAAAAAAACAGUCUCAGUUCGGAUUGAAGUCUGCAACUCGACUUCAUGAAGUUGGAAUCGCUAGUAAUCGCGAAUCAGCAUGUCGCGGUGAAUACGUUCUCGGGGUUUGUACACACCGCCCGUC
This 1246-nucleotide ribosomal RNA is filed under the name 'Vaccinium corymbosum' phytoplasma. RNAcentral's name for it is "bacterial SSU rRNA". It matches the Rfam family "Bacterial small subunit ribosomal RNA", at positions 152 to 1398 of the family's 1533-position model. The record is from RNAcentral. Lineage: Bacteria; Bacillati; Mycoplasmatota; Mollicutes; Acholeplasmatales; Acholeplasmataceae.